Molecule: ribosomal RNA, 259 nt
Filed under: uncultured bacterium
Lineage: Bacteria
Description: partial 16S ribosomal RNA
Rfam family: Bacterial small subunit ribosomal RNA
Source: RNAcentral
UUGGCGGACGGGUGAGUAACGCGUGGAAAACCUGCCGUAUACUGGGGGAUAACACUUAGAAAUAGGUGCUAAUACCGCAUAAGCGCACAGCUUCGCAUGAAGCGGUGUGAAAAACUCCGGUGGUAUGGGAUGGGCCCGCGUCUGAUUAGCUAGUUGGCGGGGGAGAGGCCCACCAAGGCGACGAUCAGUAGCCGACCUGAGAGGGUGGCCGGCCACAUUGGGACUGAGACACGGCCCAAACUCCUACGGAAGGCAGCAG